This 155-nucleotide ribosomal RNA is filed under the name Tremella cladoniae. RNAcentral's name for it is "5.8S ribosomal RNA". It matches the Rfam family "5.8S ribosomal RNA". Rfam says of the family: 5.8S ribosomal RNA (5.8S rRNA) is a component of the large subunit of the eukaryotic ribosome. The record is from RNAcentral. Lineage: Eukaryota; Fungi; Basidiomycota; Tremellomycetes; Tremellales; Tremellaceae.
AACUUUCAACAACGGAUCUCUUGGCUCUCGCAUCGAUGAAGAACGCAGCGAAAUGCGAUAAGUAAUGUGAAUUGCAGAAUUCAGUGAAUCAUCGAAUCUUUGAACGCAUCUUGCGUCUUUUGGUAUUCCGAAAGGCAUGCUUGUUUGAGUGUCAU